RNA transcript from Orcinus orca (killer whale), 1426 nucleotides. It is a transcript of the gene named complement C8 gamma chain, with no coding region annotated. The transcript has 7 exons. NCBI's taxonomy places the organism in Eukaryota, Metazoa, Chordata, Mammalia, Artiodactyla, Delphinidae. The record is from RefSeq and is a predicted model, not a curated record.
CCGGGCGGUGCUUCUUUGUGCGCCUGUGUUUGCUCGGUCUCUCCAGAAACAGCGCCCCUGGCGGCCGGGAGGGGCGGCGGCCGAGCGCCGUGGGUCGUGGGCGGGGCUGCGGGCGAGGCUCGAGAUCUCCGGUUCGAGACUAGGCUCCGGCGCUUCCCAGUGUCGGGCACAAGUGUUCUUCGCUGUGGGGAUGAGACUAGCUGUUGGCGGUUUAAGGGAGAUGAAUGUGCACAGGGAUGCGCACCAGCCACACUGGAAGUCACGUGGGGGCUUGUGGGCAAGAAGCCAGAGGUCAACUCGGACUUUGUACACAGGACAUGGCGACAGGGCCCUGCCGGGAAGUGCAGGGCCGAGGUCAGAUGUGCAGGGCCUGUCACCGUCGCUGCUGUCGCCAUGCUGCCCCCCAGGACGGCAUCCCUCCUGACUCUGCUCCUGGCCGUCGGCUCCCUGGGUCAGAGGGUUCAGAGACCCCCUCGGCCCCCGUCCCCCAUCAGCGCCAUCCAGCCCAAGGCCAACUUCGACGCGCAGCGGUUUUCAGGGACCUGGUUCCUUGUGGCCGUGGCCUCUGCGUGCCGCUCCCUGCAGGAGCAGGGCCACCGGGCUGAGGCCAGCACACUGCACGUGACUCCUCAGGGUGCCGCCAUGGCUGUCAGCACCUUGCGGAAGCUGGAUGGGAUCUGCUGGCAGGUGCGGCAGCUCUACGGUGACACGGGGCUCCCAGGUUGCUUUCUGCUCCAAGCCCGAGGCGCCCGAGGGCCGGUGGACGUGGUCGUUGGGGAGACGGACUACCAGGGCUUCGCCAUCCUGUACCUGGAGCGGGCGCGGCAGCUGUCGGUGAAGCUGUACGGUAUGUCCCCGCGGGACCGGGUCUACACACCCGCAGGGCCGUCUGGGUGGGCCCGGAUGGGCACAUGGACGCUUCCCUCCCUUCCCCCUGCCCUUGCCGUUAGGCCCAGAUGUGGGGACAGAGAGGAGACUGGGGGUGGGGGGCAGGGGUCAGAUCACAGCCCCCGGCACACAGCCCAGCUCCCAGAGCGCCCUGCCCGCCCAGCCCGCACCCACCCAGCGGGCGCCCAGGAGCCCCGUGUGUCCCGCACACAGCCCGCUCGCUCCCUGUGAGCGAAUCAUUCCUGAGUGUGUUUGAGCAGCGGGUCCAGGGUGCCAACCUGACCGAGGACCACAUCCUGUUCUUCCCCAAGUAUGGUUUCUGCGAGGCCGCGGACCAGUUUCACGUCCUGGAUGAAGUGAGGAGGUGAGGCCGGCGGCAGCCCUGCACCAGCAAGCAGCCUGGGCCCUGGAGGUGCGGCACUCGCCGCCCCCUUGCUGAGUGGGGGGCUCUCUCCCGUCCGCCCCCGAAGCUGCGCCUCGCCGCCAGGAGCUCGGGGCGCUGCCUUCAUUAAACGCUGUCAGUCUCAGCUCCUGGCUU